Molecule: ribosomal RNA, 378 nt
Filed under: Spongicoloides novaezelandiae
Lineage: Eukaryota; Metazoa; Arthropoda; Malacostraca; Decapoda; Spongicolidae
Description: partial 16S ribosomal RNA
Rfam family: Bacterial large subunit ribosomal RNA (bases 254-378)
Source: RNAcentral
CUGUCUUAUUUAUAUAUAUUGAAUUUGACUUUUAAGUGAAAAGGCUUAAAUAAAAUAAAGGGACGAUAAGACCCUAUAAAAUUUAAUAUAAAUUAUAUUAUUUUUUAAAAUUAUUAGUUUAAUAUAAAAUAAUAUGGUAAUAUUUUAUUGGGGCGAUAGGAAUAUAAAAUAAUAACUGUUCUUUUUUAAAAAUUAAUUAAUAAUUAAUUAAAUUGAUCCUUAUUUUAAGAUUUAAAGAUAAAGUUACUUUAGGGAUAACAGCGUAAUUUUUUUUAAGAGUUCUUAUCGACAAAAAGGAUUGCGACCUCGAUGUUGAAUUAAAAUUUCUUUAUAAUGUAGCAGUUAUAGAAGAAGGUCUGUUCGACCUUUAAAUUUUUA